This 443-nucleotide ribosomal RNA is filed under the name Fusarium oxysporum. Its description in RNAcentral is "eukaryotic LSU rRNA". The stretch from base 98 to 251 matches the Rfam family "5.8S ribosomal RNA". Lineage: Eukaryota; Fungi; Ascomycota; Sordariomycetes; Hypocreales; Nectriaceae. The record is from RNAcentral.
GGAUCAGCCCGCUCCCGGUAAAACGGGACGGCCCGCCAGAGGACCCCUAAACUCUGUUUCUAUAUGUAACUUCUGAGUAAAACCAUAAAUAAAUCAAAACUUUCAACAACGGAUCUCUUGGUUCUGGCAUCGAUGAAGAACGCAGCAAAAUGCGAUAAGUAAUGUGAAUUGCAGAAUUCAGUGAAUCAUCGAAUCUUUGAACGCACAUUGCGCCCGCCAGUAUUCUGGCGGGCAUGCCUGUUCGAGCGUCAUUUCAACCCUCAAGCACAGCUUGGUGUUGGGACUCGCGUUAAUUCGCGUUCCUCAAAUUGAUUGGCGGUCACGUCGAGCUUCCAUAGCGUAGUAGUAAAACCCUCGUUACUGGUAAUCGUCGCGGCCACGCCGUUAAACCCCAACUUCUGAAUGUUGACCUCGGAUCAGGUAGGAAUACCCGCUGAACUUAA